This 72-nucleotide transfer RNA is filed under the name Chloroflexota bacterium. RNAcentral describes it as "Chloroflexi bacterium (hot springs metagenome) tRNA-Ile". It matches the Rfam family "tRNA". Rfam says of the family: Transfer RNA (tRNA) molecules are approximately 80 nucleotides in length. Their secondary structure includes four short double-helical elements and three loops (D, anti-codon, and T loops). Lineage: Bacteria; Bacillati; Chloroflexota. The record is from RNAcentral.
GGGUCCAUAGCUCAACGGCAGAGCGGCUUGCUCAUAACGAGUUGGUUACAGGUUCGAAUCCUGUUGGACCCA